This 72-nucleotide transfer RNA is filed under the name Deltaproteobacteria bacterium CG11_big_fil_rev_8_21_14_0_20_45_16. RNAcentral's name for it is "tRNA-Met". It matches the Rfam family "tRNA". From Rfam's summary of the family: Transfer RNA (tRNA) molecules are approximately 80 nucleotides in length. Their secondary structure includes four short double-helical elements and three loops (D, anti-codon, and T loops). Lineage: Bacteria; Deltaproteobacteria. The record is from RNAcentral.
GGAUCUGUAGCUCAACGGCAGAGCACCCGGCUCAUAACCGGUAAGUUGUAGGUUCGAAUCCUACCUGAUCCA